RNAcentral lists this unclassified non-coding RNA (253 nucleotides) under uncultured Alphaproteobacteria bacterium. RNAcentral's name for it is "contains 16S-23S intergenic spacer region". It matches the Rfam family "Bacterial small subunit ribosomal RNA", at positions 524 to 776 of the family's 1533-position model. Lineage: Bacteria; Pseudomonadati; Pseudomonadota; Alphaproteobacteria. The record is from RNAcentral.
UACGGAGGGGGCUAGCGUUGUUCGGAAUUACUGGGCGUAAAGGGCGCGUAGGCGGCGCAUCAAGUCCGGCGUGAAAGUCCUGGGCUCAACCCGGGGACUGCGCUGGAGACUGGUGUGCUCGAGUCCGGGAGAGGAUGGCGGAAUUCCCAGUGUAGAGGUGAAAUUCGUAGAUAUUGGGAAGAACACCGGUGGCGAAGGCGGCCAUCUGGACCGGCACUGACGCUGAGGCGCGAAAGCGUGGGGAGCAAACAGG